CUUCACCCUGUCUGCCUUAGUUUCUUCAUCUGUAAAAUGAGCCUGGAGAAGGGAAUGGCAAACACUCGAGUAUCUCCCAAGAAAAUCCCAAAUGGGGUCAUUGAGAGUUGGAUAUGACUUAACAGCAAGAACAAGAUUAUAGGACCCUCAAGGAACAUCCGUUCUUUUUUAAAAAUUUAUUUUUAAAAGGUUAAACUGUUUACAUUCCUACAUGGGAAGAUGAUAUAUCUAAUUCAUAAAAAUUUUCUCAGUAUUAGGGCAGAUGAUAGGAAUAAAUUUAGACAGAGGGCACAGGUGGGAAUUGAUGAUGAAGGGAUGAUAUCUGUAAAGAAUUAAUUUUUUGUCUUUUUUUUUUUUCCAGGGCAGUUGGGGUGGGGUGACACACCCAAGGUUGAGCAGCUAGUGAGUGUCUUGUGUCUGAGGCCAGAUUUGGGCUUGGGUACUCCUGAGUCCAGGGUGGGAGAUUUGUCACUGUGUCACCUAGCUACCCCAUGAUGACAUCUUUAAAAUAAAAUUUCCAUCUUUGGCUGCAAAGCCACCCGCUGUGGUCAGAGUGAGGUGAGUGGCGGAUAUCACGCGGUGACUCUAUUACUUUGGAGGGACCGUGUCAUCGACUUCUCCUGGGAGGAUCAGCAAGUGGGUCCUUUCAAAGACGGGUCACCAUUGUCAUAUCUCCUCUACCAUUUGUCCCAGAGAACCUGGGUGCCGAGGCCCCCUGCGGGGAGACGAUGCUUCAGAGCCCCAUUGCUGAUACCACUGCUUUGCCUGGAACCCAUCCUGACAAUUUCAUAUGCAACACAUGCUUCC
This is a long non-coding RNA of Dromiciops gliroides (monito del monte), 807 nucleotides long. RefSeq lists it as uncharacterized. The transcript is spliced from 3 exons. The record is from RefSeq and is a predicted model, not a curated record. Lineage: Eukaryota; Metazoa; Chordata; Mammalia; Microbiotheria; Microbiotheriidae.